Molecule: ribosomal RNA, 466 nt
Filed under: uncultured bacterium
Lineage: Bacteria
Description: bacterial SSU rRNA
Rfam family: Bacterial small subunit ribosomal RNA
Source: RNAcentral
CCUACGGGGGGGCAGCAGUGGGGAAUAUUGGACAAUGGGCGAAAGCCUGAUCCAGCCAUGCCGCGUGUGUGAAGAAGGUCUUCGGAUUGUAAAGCACUUUAAGUUGGGAGGAAGGGUUGUAGAUUAAUACUCUGCAAUUUUGACGUUACCGACAGAAUAAGCACCGGCUAACUCUGUGCCAGCAGCCGCGGUAAUACAGAGGGUGCAAGCGUUAAUCGGAAUUACUGGGCGUAAAGCGCGCGUAGGUGGUUAGUUAAGUUGGAUGUGAAAUCCCCGGGCUCAACCUGGGAACUGCAUUCAAAACUGACUGACUAGAGUAUGGUAGAGGGUGGUGGAAUUUCCUGUGUAGCGGUGAAAUGCGUAGAUAUAGGAAGGAACACCAGUGGCGAAGGCGACCACCUGGACUGAUACUGACACUGAGGUGCGAAAGCGUGGGGAGCAAACAGGAUUAGAUACCCCAGUAGUC